Molecule: ribosomal RNA, 252 nt
Filed under: Muribaculum intestinale
Lineage: Bacteria; Pseudomonadati; Bacteroidota; Bacteroidia; Bacteroidales; Muribaculaceae
Description: partial 16S ribosomal RNA
Rfam family: Bacterial small subunit ribosomal RNA
Source: RNAcentral
UACGGAGGAUGCGAGCGUUAUCCGGAUUUAUUGGGUUUAAAGGGGGCGCAGGCUGCGAGGCAAGUCAGCGGUCAAAUGUCGGGGCUCAACCCCGGCCUGCCGUUGAAACUGUCUUGCUAGAGUUCGAGUGAGGUAUGCGGAAUGCGUUGUGUAGCGGUGAAAUGCAUAGAUAUGACGCAGAACUCCGAUUGCGAAGGCAGCAUACCAACUCGCGACUGACGCUGAGGCUCGAAAGCGUGGGUAUCGAACAGG